UAAACUUUAAAUGCAACCCUCCCCUGCUAAUUCAAAAGGAAAGGGAUUAACUUAGAGCACCAUGCUUGCUGGUUUAUAUGGAAGAUAACUGGUAGCUGAAAGGUAAUGAUUUCUACACGUUACUGCUAUCCUCUUCUUAAAUGAACAUAACCACAAUAACAUGAUACUGUUUCUGGUUUUUUUUUUUUAGCAGGAUGACUUAGGCUUUGAAUGGGUCCUAUGGGUGCCGCCCUGUCGGGGACACACAGGAGGCGGCGGCCGGCCGCCAGGUGGCGCUGCGGGGUCGGGCCAGUCCGGGCGCGGCGUCUCUCCCUAGCGGCGCCCCCUCUCGGCCGCUCUCGGCGCAUUCCCCGCGGCGCUCCGGUCCCUGCUCCGCUGCUCCCGAGAGCGCUCCGCUGCAGCCGCCACACUCCUGAGGCCGAGGGCAGCCCUGCCUGGACCUCUCCCCAGCGCUCCGGUCCCGGAGGAAGGAAAAGGAAGAGAGACAUUUUCUCUCUUUUUAUUUAUUUGGUUUUUUUUCCCCUUUGGUGAACUCAGUGAAGUUCGGACAACUGGCCGUCUUCCUCCCCGCUGCCGGAGGGGGAAACCUCUGUGGCGGAGGGGUACGGAGGGGGGAAAACAACAACAACAACAGCGAAAACCUUAACCCGACACAGCUCUUACACCCACAGCCCCUCAACCGCUUCGAGUCCUGGUAGCCGUCAUCUGCGGGUACCAGUGCCAGUCAGCUCCUCCGAGCAGCAGGGGAAGCUCCGUGCCCUCAUUAGGCGGUGCCGCCGGGCAGCAGCCGAGAUUCCCUGCUCCCCGGCGUAGGUCUCGGAGGAGGCAAAGCAGAGGGAGGAUCCGCUAGGAUCCAGGUAGAUCCAGCUUUUACCGCUUACCGAAAGCUACCACCAGCAGGACCUCCGUCUCCUCCCUCCCUCCUCCCCUAACUCCCCCCCUCCCCUGCCCCUCCGCGAUGAGAGACGGGCCAAGUCCGUGCGCGCCAGCAGCGCUCGCUGCCAGGGGCGGACGGAUCGCUUUCAUGUCACAGGGUGUCUGCUAGCCCUGCGGAGGCUCCCCCGGCCGGGCCGGGGUGGGGCGGCGGCGGGUGGCAGCUGCCCCGAGGCCGGGGUGACUGCCGGCCUCGCGGAAUGCUGGCGGCGGGGGAUGCGGAGCCGGCUGUGGACUAACAUGGGGGGCAGCCACUCCCACAGGGCGCCCGUGUUCGACGAGAACGAGGACGGUGAGUGUGGAGCUGUCCAAGGUACCCGCCGCGCCCGCGAGCCCCGUAGUUCCCGACGCUGGCUCAGCCCCGGGGCCGCAGGCAGCAGCUCGCCCUCAGCCAGGUGUCAGCAGCUUCCUCAGUACCCCCGGGGAGGUAUUUUGGAUAGAUUCUCCAUCCGGCUGCUUUCUGUGGGGUAGGGUCCCUGGGGAAGGAGGAGGACAAGCCCACCUUUGUCUAGCUGUUCUCACUAAUUACGUAGUUCUUUGCUUUUAUACAAGCUAAACCGAAGUCUAGGACACCGCCGCUUGGGUUUUAAACACAUGG
Molecule: long non-coding RNA, 1531 nt
Filed under: Numida meleagris (helmeted guineafowl)
Lineage: Eukaryota; Metazoa; Chordata; Aves; Galliformes; Numididae
Description: lncRNA (ENSNMEG00000019255.1)
Source: RNAcentral